Empidonax traillii (willow flycatcher) is the source of this 906-nucleotide long non-coding RNA. RefSeq lists it as uncharacterized. The transcript has 3 exons. The record is from RefSeq and is a predicted model, not a curated record. Lineage: Eukaryota; Metazoa; Chordata; Aves; Passeriformes; Tyrannidae.
AUGAAUAUUAAGAAUCUGUGCUGUGCCUUUGUUUUUUUCACUGUGAUAAGUGAUGCUUUUCUCCCUGCCCUUCCCUCCUGCCUUGUCUCUUGUAAAGAACUUUUAUAUCUGUUAUUAGGAAUUCUGUAAGCGAGGUUUCAUCAUGCUCUUUUUGUUUUAUUCUUUUUUUUUUUUUCUGCAGUAAAAUUUUCUAAUACCCAUUAGCAAUGCAUAAAUCUAUUCUGGCAGAUUAUUUAGUUUUAUCUUUAGGUUGGCUUGAAUUUGGAGGAACUACAAUCAAAGUGGGCAUUGGAUUUUAAGAACUGUUCUAUAAUGGCUGCAACAGCUCUAUAUCACUGCAAAUUCUGAACUCCAUGAACUUGUUCCCUGUUUCUACAGCUUGGCUGAGUAAACUUUGCUCUGAAUGGCACCAUGAGUGCUUGAUGAAGCAGAGAACAGUCUAUUUCCAGCAUAUCUAGCACAGAGUGGGUGGAUCUCUGACUAAUUGAUAAUCUACAUGAGUUUCUAUGAAAUUCUGGAAUCUAGAUUACUGUGGGAUCAAACUGGACUUUGUUUUUGUUCCUGUACCUUUGACAACUUUCUCCCCAAAUGUGCAGAACUGAAUUUGCCUGACACUGAAGGGCUGAACCGUGAAUGUCCUUGACUUUGACUUCCAAAAUACCUGCUGCAUUUUGGUGUGGCAACUCAGCACUUCACUGAACCUGGGAAUCCAACUGAAAAAUAAGAAGACAGCUCUGCAACACCACACCUGUUGGUGGUUGACUUCAGGAAGUUCAGAUGGAUUAUCUGGAAGGCACAUACAGGGUUAGUACCUCUGUAAUAUCUGGUAACUGAAGACCUGUUGAAGGUAACAACAAACUCUCACUGCUGAGCCUCAGAGAAAUCCCAGGAGUUCCUGAAUUUCUC